UCUGUUGGGCUGGGCAGUGGACACCGAGCGUCGAACCAUCUGGAUCCCUCCUGACCCUACCAUCGCUCGCAACUCCCAGCUCCGCCGCCUUCCUUCCUUCUCCACCGACGAGGUCCGCCCAAACUGAUCCCUCCUGACCCUACCAUCUCUCGUGACCCCCGCUCCGCCGCCUUCCUACCUUCUCCACCGACGAGGCCUCCCCUAACUCCGCAGCUGCCCCUCCUCAGCCAUACUCUCGUGUAUAUGGAGAAACAUCCUCCCUUCUCAGGGCGGACAUCAACAUAAGGCCGUGGGGUGCACUACGGAAAGAUUUGGAUGCUGGCAAUAGGAGGGCGAGAUGGUAGAUAGAGAACCUUACGCUUACUGGAAAGGAAAUCUAGAUGUCACACUAUAACGCAAGAGCUGGUUGUUUCCAGUAAAGCAAGAAUGGAAUGCAUGGAUUUACAGGCAGGUAAUUGUUUGGGUUUACGUUACACUGCACUCUUUUAUAUGGAAAUCUAUCUUUCCUUUUUUUUCCUUCUAAUAAGUAGAAAAUCCUACUAUUGUCUACUAUAAAAAAUUAAGUCACCUCUGAAAAUGUUAUAAUCCUUCUGAUCUAGGUUUCAAAUAAAAUAAGAUGGUCUUAUGACUGAUUAGUGCUUAGCUGGUUUACUUUUGUUUUCCCAUUUAGGAUUGGAUCAAACAUAGCAAGGUAGGAUACAAAAAAUCAGAUUUGGCCAGUCAUUGUACCCACAUGUUUGCCUCUGUUAUAAGAUAGUUUUCUUCUUUCGUCAAUGUUGAAACUGUGAUGUUCGAUUAUAGAUACAAGAUCUACAUUGAAGGAUCAGCAUGGUCAAUCAGUGAUAAGUAUAUCCUAGCUUGUGAUUCAAUGACGCUGGUGAUUUACUACGAUUUCUUUUCAAGGGUGCUGAUGCCCACUAAGCAUUAUUGGCCAGUUCGAGAUGACAGCAAGUGCAGCUCCAUAAAGUACGAUGUUGACUAGGGAAAUCGAUAUAUUUAGCAAGAUAGCACGUGUGGUUUCUAAUUAUGCUUUACCUGAAUUAGUUUAGUACCUGGACAUUAGAUUGGUAGUUUACCCGCAUAUGAUUGGAGGUCAUCAGAAACUAUUGAAAAGGAAAUAUGUCACAAUUUAGGUAUUUUGAGAGAAACGUUGUUAUGAGAUCUACAAUCUCUAAUAUCUAAUUUUAGCUCCUCUUGUCAUGGUGCUAUAGUUAGCUUUUUUUGCUAUCUUCUUUUUUAUAUAUUAACAGCCAAAUGGUAGAGUUCACUUCAUCUUUGAUUCCAGUAUAGCAUGGGUAGCCUCCAUCCAGUAUAUGUAAAGCACCAGGUAUUAAACUACUUUUAUCCAUCCAUGUCAGGAGAAGAUGACAUUUGCUCAUGUGUGUUACAAUACCUAUGGAUGAAUCUAUUGUAGAAGUUACCUUGUGAUUACUUAACAUAUGGAACCUAACUAUACUAUAUGAUGAGUUAAUCACUCAGCUACUUCUACUGUCUUUUUGUACCACAUUUAAACUUUUCUUUUAGCAAGGCUGUGCCAUGUGUACGUUUUCAAUUAGCAUGGCUUUGCUUCUUUUCUUUUGACACUACUUCAUAUUUCUGUAGUGCUUAUUUUGUCAAUAGUUGCUAACUGUGUUGCCACUGCUCUUGAAUUUGGUUCAGCUGCUGCUCCAGCCUUGACGGUGUUGUUAAAGAUGGUUCCUGGCUUCCAUCUUGCGAAUUUAGUACCGAGGUUUAUCUUCGUGUUUUUUUUUUACUUUCAGUCAAUACAUGGUAUUUUUGGUCAUCCAACGAAGUAUUUUCACCAUGAUCUUCGUUGUAUCGUAAGUAUCCUGUGACAUGUUUCCAUACAGCCAUUGCAAGAAGACAUUGCAAAUGUCCAGGGCCACCUAUGGUAGGUGAUGCCGAUGGACAUCCCUUCAUCAUGACUUUGCAAUCCUAGCACGAGCCAGGAGGAAUCUACUCAUGCGUGGUGUAUAGUGUACUGGCGCUUAAUACUUAGUAGGUAACAAACAAAGGUGGAAUGUAUUUGCUGUGAACAAUGCGUAUAAACCAGGUUUUUCCAUGCUAAUGGUUUUAGUUCUAUUUAAGUUAUCUUUUGGUCCCGUGAA
Brachypodium distachyon (stiff brome) is the source of this 2108-nucleotide RNA transcript. RefSeq lists it as uncharacterized. The record is from RefSeq and is a predicted model, not a curated record. NCBI's taxonomy places the organism in Eukaryota, Viridiplantae, Streptophyta, Magnoliopsida, Poales, Poaceae. The transcript has 3 exons.